AACGAACGCUGGCGGCGUGCCUAAUACAUGCAAGUCGAGCGAGAAAGUGGCUUCGGUCAUGAGUAAAGCGGCAGACGGGUGAGUAAUACAUAGGUAACCUACCCUAUAGUUGGGAAUAACCUUCCGAAAGGAGGGCUAAUACCGAAUGAGACCACAGUAUCUAAGGAUACCGGGGUUAAAGAAGGCCUCUAUUUAUAAGCUUUCGCUAAAGGAUGGGCUUAUGCACCAGUUAGCCUGUUGGUAGGAAUGGCCUACCAAAGCUAUGAUGGUUAGCUGAUCUGAGGAGGUUGAUCAGCCACACUGGAACUGAGACACGGUCCAGACUCCUACGGGAGGCAGCAGU
RNAcentral lists this ribosomal RNA (343 nucleotides) under uncultured bacterium. Its description in RNAcentral is "bacterial SSU rRNA". It matches the Rfam family "Bacterial small subunit ribosomal RNA", at positions 29 to 355 of the family's 1533-position model. The record is from RNAcentral.